CGUUAUUUAAUUAUUUUAUUACGCGGGGGCGUGAUUCAUAAUUAUUUUAUUAAGCAGCGAAUAAUUAAUUGGCGCGAACCUAAGUUAAUACGCGAGUUAGGAGCGUUACGUGAGCGAAACCAUGCAAGUGGGCUUGAAGCCCAAUGAGCCAAGGCAAGGGAAAGGGGGGCGGUUUGUGAUGCAAGUGGGAGGAGAAGAUAUUUUCUUCUACUUGGUUGGUAAGAAAAGUCAAUAAAAGUGGAAAGGAGAUAAGAACAAGAGAAAAAUCACAAAGUUCAUUCAUCCUUCUUCUUCUCUCUUCUUUGGCCGUGGCCAUUCUUUUCCAUCCAUCACAAAUUUCAUUUCUUCACCAAAUUGAUCCAUCUUAAGCUUGUUGGAAACAUGAGAGUUCAUGGAUCAUCAUCCCUAAGCUAGGGCAAGCAAGAGAGCAAAGCAAGAGGGUGCUAGGGCUUGAGAAAGAGAGGAGCUCAUGAGAGCUAGAACAUGAGGAGCUUGAGGAUUCAUCAAAUUUCUAAGGUAAGAGAGUUAGUUUCCAUGAUUCAUGAGUGGUCAAAGAGAGGGGAGGUUAUCUAGGCCUCCAUUCCCAAACUCUCUCACUCAUUUUCUUUGGGGUUUUGGGUGAUUUUCUUCAUGAAUCAUUGAAAGGAAAAGAUCAUGAGAUGUUAUUUAUUCAUGACAUGAUUGUAUGAGGGAAUAUGUNNNNNNNNNNNNNNNNNNNNNNNNNNNNNNNNNNNNNNNNNNNNNNNNNNNNNNNNNNNNNNNNNNNNNNNUUUGCCUAAGCCCUAGAUUGGCCUUAGCCAAGCUCAAUGAUUUGCAAAGUGUUGAUGAGUUUUGCAAAAUGUUCAUGAAUUUCUUUGAAUAAUAAGCAAUGAAUGAUGUAUUGAUGUUUAAAUGGACUUUUUUAAGUGUUUUGAGUAUGUAUAUAUGUGUGAUGGAGUUUAGAAUAUGAAAAAUGGUUUAUGUGAGAGUCUUGAGAGUUUAGAGUUUGAAAUGAGAAAUGUAGAAAAUUGUUAUCUAUGAGGUCUGAACCUUUACGUGCAUUUUUGACCUCUUUUCGUUGUGAACUGGUUUUAGUGGACAACAUAAAAGUUGUAGCCCUGUUUGUUAGCUUUCCAACGAGUAUAUGUGCGUCUCCAUUGGACUUUCGUAGCCCAAGUUAUGAUCGUUGCAAUGAGAGGCUGUCCUGCAGAAAUCCUGCACAAUUUGUCUGUGGCGCACCAUUUUAGAGGAGUGGUGCCCAGGCGCCCAGAGAAGUCUAGAAAUGCCAUUUUGACUCUGUUUUGUGACGAAGGCUGGCGCCCCAGCGCAGGCACUGUUCACAGGAUUGAAAAUGUUGACUUUUGGUUGACUUUUGAGGGUUUUCGACCCCGAAACCUAUUUUACUCAGUUUUUCGUGUAGAUUCCGAUUCCGGUGUUUGUUUUAUGAGUUGAGGCAUGCUUAAUGUAGUUGUUAUAUAUUAAUUGCAU
Molecule: long non-coding RNA, 1467 nt
Filed under: Trifolium pratense (red clover)
Lineage: Eukaryota; Viridiplantae; Streptophyta; Magnoliopsida; Fabales; Fabaceae
Description: long non-coding RNA (TPRA_LNC005325)
Source: RNAcentral